AUGAGUUUGUUUUGUUAUCUUUUCGUAUUUUUGGCACUUGUUUGGUCACUUGUUGUUGUCUUUCGCAAAUAAUCUGGCACCUCAAGGAAAGUUAGGGUGUCUUGACUUUCCUCCGAUUACGGAAAUCGACGGUGCAAAUUUUGCUUCCCACAGUUUGGGCUAGAAGGAUAGGGGGUACGGAUUACUCUAAUUCAUAGCCGCAAAACGCAUGAUCAAAACGAUGUCUGGAAAUACGAAAGACAAAAUUGCAGUUCGCAACAACACUGGUAAAACAACUCCAGCAGGCACUGCACUUAUGGCCAAUGCUUACGCAAACGGCACAGUUCUUGAGAAAAUCGAAAACCUAGCUGCAAAUUUUUGCCACAGGAAGAACAACGAAACGAGCUCGCGAUUUCAUUGUCUAAACAUAAAGGGAAACGAUAAAUUUUAUCAAACCCCAUAAGAUUUGGCUCAUGACCGAGCUAAAGAAGUCUCAACGGGUAAGAGUUUUACCAAAAGACGUUUUUCGAAGACUUUUCGGAAAAAUAAAACUUAAUCUCCCCAAAACCGCAGAAAAACCCUUGGUUAAUCACGGAAAAAGGAGGCACAGCAAAUCGGGUACAUAACUCACUGCUGCACUUCUUUCGAUUUUUUUGCGGAAAAACCUAGGUUAAUCGCGGAAAAAAUAAGCACAACAAAUCGGGUACAUAACUCACCGCUGUACUUCUUCCAAAUAACUUUUGGAGAAACGAAGUUAAUUUCUAUAGAAUCACUUGAAAUCUAAAAUGGCUGACGAAGACUAAACAAAGCUAAAUGGGAGAUCGUAUCCCAUCGCUAAAACAUUUUCUGAAACCUAUAGCUGAGUCAGCUGAGUCAGCUAGUCCAUCCAGCUGAUCGAGCUGAACCACUCUACUUGAGCUCAACCGAGCUUCGUCCAGCUGAUCGAGCUUCUUGCUCGCAUCGCCCAGCUGCUAUUCACCUCGUCCAGUUUGCUCUCUUUAUGUUAUUCAAUCCGUAUAAGUCCUUUCGUCCAUUUCUCGACCUAGAAUAAGUUUUCCCAUGGCCCAUUAUGAUCAUUCUCUUCAUCACACCUUGUUCAUGAUCAUUUCCCAUUAUCUGAACCAAGGCAGUCUCGUUUCUAUUGAAACGUCUAGGCCCUAUGUCAAAUUACCGGGACAGGGAUGUUACACCUUCCACUAGGACUAGCAUCAGACUCCGAUCUAGGCGAUGAAACCCUAACAGAAGCACUCUUAGGAUUCCAAUUAACACUAGUAGAAAGACGAAGAGGGAGAGGAAGACUGUCGUCAUCUGAAGAAGAAUCUAAGAUUACGAUAAACAACAGCAUAGGAGCGAAAAGAUCAUCCAUAAAUUCUUCAGUCGGAGACGUCAUACAAUUUUAAAAGCAAGAGAAGAUAGGAAUAAAAGAAUAGAAAAAAAUACAAAGACCUAAGCGACAUUAACAGCUAAAAACAAUAAUCAAAAUAAGAAAACAAAGAGGAGUCAAAGAAAAUUGCACCAGUAACUGCAAAUAAAAAAAAAUCCAACACACACAAACAAUGAAAAUAAAAAGAAAAAGAGAGAUGUGUUCAAAAAAGAAAAGAAAGAUGAAACAAUCCUUUCACCUAACAAAAAUGAAGAAUGAUAGAAGACAAAGAGUUAACACGUCAAACUUGAAACCAAAAAAUAAAAUGAGUGCCACGCUGAAUUGAUUCGCUUCCCGAGGGGAUGGAAUCUCCUAUUUGCCUUGAUCUAACAUCCGGCCAACUCAGCAACGAAAACUGAAAUCUCAAUAUGUUUUGAAAAAUCAUAAACCACCAAUCACAAAUACAUUACCUAGAACCCAUGUUCGGGAUCGCGCUAGACGUGAGUCGGGCGGACGGUAUAGGCGAGUUAACAGAAAAUCGGAGAUUAAUCGGGGAUUUAUUUUCAAGAAUUUCUUUAUUUUCAAAUAUAUAUAUAUAUAUAUAUAUAUAUAUAUAUAUAUAUAUAUGUGUAUUUAUCUGCUUGUGGGAAAGAUAACGAUGUGAUGUUGUGGCCUAGUGGUACAUUAUUGCUCUGUUAAUCCUUCUCAAAUCUCCAAAAUGCUAGUUUUGACUCUAUUUUUUUAUUGAAAGGCAAAACUAAACAUCCCACAUUGGAAGAACACGAAGUUUGUCAAGAGAAAACACUCCCUUAUAAAUAAAGCAUGAUGCUCCCUUGAAGAAAUCGUAAAUAUGCUAUAAUUUAGUCUGAGUCCCUUCUUAAAAGUUGGUUAUGCAAUUUUUUUAGCUAUAAAUCGGUUAUUAAUUCAAUUAAAUAGCGGUUAGUUGCAUUAAAUGGUUUAUUGACCAUUGACCGAUUUUAAUUUCCGAGUUGGUCAAAACGCAACGGUUGGACUCCGAGGGGCGUUUUUGUGGCCGCAGAAUCGGUUGUUCGGCCGCGAUUUCGAACCUGGCCUAUAACGGAAUAAACACCGGCCCAUCUUGAGCCGGCUAAGAGUCAAUGCUGACCUGACCCGGUCAACUUGAAAUGUUGAGAAGAUUGGCAUAUUAAUGGCGACUUAAAGACACCAGAUACACACCGCGAGUCAAGCUGCCAUUAGGAUUCUCCACGACCAGCUGUAAAAAGAGGACUAGUGAAAAGGAGAAUGGGGAUCCAAGCCUCAUAUACCAAAAUGAUAUUAUUUUACACUUAAAUCCACUUGUAUUCUUAUCCAUCUUAUUGUUCAUCAUUAUAUCAACGUUUAUUAUCAAUAAAAACACUUUUUUAUCUUCAGAUCACUACUUGUUUAACACAUUUGCGAUUCUAACCUUAAUUUGGAUCCCAUGUUCUAUGACCCUUUAUCUUGUCGCAUCAGCCUAAUAUUUCAAGGCAAGUGACUUCCAAAAACGUAAAUCAAACUAAUUUUGUUUGGUUAAAUUAGGCGAGAGUUUAACCGACCCAAAGAAACCGACAAUUGAAUAACCUAAUAACUAGGCCCAACCUAAAUGAUCGCGUGUAGUUAAGGAAGAAUGGUUUAAUAAGAGAGAUGUACAAGAGCUUUUUUCUAAUAAAAUUGUUAUUCUAACAUAUUGUUGCCUAACUGGUGUAAGAACGAAAAAGUAAUUUGAUGAAUUUCGAACUAAACAAGUCGAGUACAUUUCCAUUUCUUAAUCUACUUUUCCUUUGCUAUAAUAUCACCGUCGUUGCUUCUACGAAAGAUAGAUACAUAUCACAAGUGGUCAAAGUGCAGAUCAUUGCAAAGUAAUAGUUUGAACGCCAUGUUGAAUGGCAUGAUUAUGCGUUGUUUCGGUCCUCCUUUUUGCCAUAUAUUUGAUUAACUUUCGCUUAUUACUUCUAAGAUAUAGAUUUACUAUUUCUUAUAGAAAUUUAGAUUUUCAAAUCUACAUUAGGAAAUUUUACAUUUUUCUUUUUACGUUUUUUAUCUUUUCAAACUUAUUUGCAUGCUAUAAAAUUAUGUUUUUUCUAGCAACAACCAUCUUUUAUUUUCAUUUUAAUAACUUUAAUACUAACUGGCGACCCUCCCCUAAAUACGUCAUAGUUGUUCAUCGUUAGAAAGGGGUGAAAGUAAAUAAAAGAUGGAUUAUAAAAUCUAGAAAUGAAAGAAAAAUAGAGGGCUGGAAUUUUCAAGAAAAAGAAAAAAACACUUGCUUAUUGCAUAUGACUUGUCACGUGUGAAUUAGCUGGCGAAAACAUAUUAUAAAAGUGGCCAAUACUAAACAUUAAACCCCAAUUAUAUCCAUCAGCGUACUAAGAAAUCAUCCACCACCCAGAAAUCGUGUAAAGGCAUUGUUUGGUUGAUGGAACAACAUAUAUCUCAAGAUCAAGCUCGUGAGUCUCUCAUCGCCAUCAUCUCUUACACCUCAUCGCUGGAGCAAGAGCCUCUAACCACCUCAGAUGUGAGACCUGUCGUCACCAUAAGAAACUCGGAAGAUGCGGAAGAGCUCAGAUCAGAGCUGAUUUCCAUCUCCGACCACGACUCACCGGAUGAACCUAUUUCCUCGACACCACCGGCCAACAGUAUCUGUCGUGGAUAGUAGUAAAUGUACAGCACCAAGUCUUUGCUUUUGUUUGGUCUAAAAGUAGACCAUUAAUGUCACAUAUGUAAACGUCUCUCAUCAAUCAAUAUAUCUUCUUUGUGUGCUUA
Brassica rapa (field mustard) is the source of this 4105-nucleotide long non-coding RNA. RefSeq lists it as uncharacterized. NCBI's taxonomy places the organism in Eukaryota, Viridiplantae, Streptophyta, Magnoliopsida, Brassicales, Brassicaceae. The record is from RefSeq and is a predicted model, not a curated record.